This 604-nucleotide ribosomal RNA is filed under the name Salmonella enterica. RNAcentral's name for it is "partial 23S ribosomal RNA". It matches the Rfam family "Bacterial large subunit ribosomal RNA", at positions 329 to 937 of the family's 2925-position model. Lineage: Bacteria; Pseudomonadati; Pseudomonadota; Gammaproteobacteria; Enterobacterales; Enterobacteriaceae. The record is from RNAcentral.
UUAGUGGAAGCGUCUGGAAAGGCGCGCGAUACAGGGUGACAGCCCCGUACACAAAAGCGCAUGUGCUGUGAGCUCGAUGAGUAGGGCGGGACACGUGGUAUCCUGUCUGAAUAUGGGGGGACCAUCCUCCAAGGCUAAAUACUCCUGACUGACCGAUAGUGAACCAGUACCGUGAGGGAAAGGCGAAAAGAACCCCGGCGAGGGGAGUGAAAAAGAACCUGAAACCGUGUACGUACAAGCAGUGGGAGCACCCUUUUGGGUGUGACUGCGUACCUUUUGUAUAAUGGGUCAGCGACUUAUAUUCUGUAGCAAGGUUAACCGUAUAGGGGAGCCGGAGGGAAACCGAGUCUUAACCGGGCGUUAAGUUGCAGGGUAUAGACCCGAAACCCGGUGAUCUAGCCAUGGGCAGGUUGAAGGUUGGGUAACACUAACUGGAGGACCGAACCGACUAAUGUUGAAAAAUUAGCGGAUGACCUGUGGCUGGGGGUGAAAGGCCAAUCAAACCGGGAGAUAGCUGGUUCUCCCCGAAAGCUAUUUAGGUAGCGCCUCGUGAAUUCAUCUCCGGGGGUAGAGCACUGUUUCGGCUAGGGGGCCAUCCCGGCUU